RNAcentral lists this ribosomal RNA (487 nucleotides) under uncultured bacterium. Its description in RNAcentral is "bacterial SSU rRNA". It matches the Rfam family "Bacterial small subunit ribosomal RNA", at positions 28 to 507 of the family's 1533-position model. The record is from RNAcentral.
GAUGAACGCUAGCGGCAGGCCUAACACAUGCAAGUCGAGGGGUAACAUAGAAAAGCUUGCUUUUCUGAUGACGACCGGCGCACGGGUGCGUAACGCGUAUACAACCUACCUUUUAGCGGGGAAUAGCCCAGGGAAACUUGGAUUAAUGCCCCAUAGUAUAUGGACUUCUCCUGAAGUUUAUAUUAAACAUUUAUGGCUAUUAGAUGGGUAUGCGUCCUAUUAGUUAGUUGGUAAGGUAACGGCUUACCAAGGCAGCGAUAGGUAGGGGUCCUGAGAGGGAGAUCCCCACACUGGUACUGAGACACGGACCAGACUCCUACGGGAGGCAGCAGUGAGGAAUAUUGGACAAUGGGCGAGAGCCUGAUCCAGCCAUGCCGCGUGCAGGAAGACUGCCCUAUGGGUUGUAAACUGCUUUUACAGAGGAAGAACCACCCCCACGUGUGGGGGUUUGACGGUACUCUGCGAAUAAGGAUCGGCUAACUCCGUG